This 489-nucleotide ribosomal RNA is filed under the name uncultured Eubacteriales bacterium. RNAcentral's name for it is "uncultured Clostridiales bacterium partial 16S ribosomal RNA". The record is from RNAcentral. Lineage: Bacteria; Bacillati; Bacillota; Clostridia; Eubacteriales.
CGCGUAGUUAGCCGGGGCUUCUUACUCAGGUACCGUCAUUUUCUUCCCUGCUGAUAGAGCUUUACGUAACGAAUUACUUCUUCACUCACGCGGCGUCGCUGCAUCAGGGUUUCCCCCAUUGUGCAAUAUUCCCCACUGCUGCCUCCCGUAGGAGUCUGGGCCGUGUCUCAGUCCCAAUGUGGCCGUCCGCCCUCUCAGGCCGGCUACUGAUCGUCGCCUUGGUGGGCCGUUACCCCGCCAACAAGCUAAUCAGACGCGGGUCCAUCUUACACCACCGGAGUUUUUCACACCGCUUCAUGCGAAGCUGUGCGCUUAUGCGGUUUUAGCACCUAUUUCUAAGUGUUAUCCCCCUGUGUAAGGCAGGUUACCCACGCGUUACUCACCCGUCCGCCACUAACCCAUAUAUCACUAGGUUUCAAUAUGGGUCCGUUCGACUUGCAUGUGUUAAGCACGCCGCCAGCGUUUCAUCCUGAGCCAGGAUCAAACUCU